AAACCCGCCCAGCGCGCGGCACCAUGGGAGUGCUCUACGGCGCAGCCGCCUUUAAACUCCGCUCUUGCCGGUGAAAAUUUUACUGGGCAGGGACUGGAGGACUGCAUAUGCUCGGGAUUGCCUGGGAAACCAGGGAGGAAUGAACUACACGGAGAUCCCUAGAACAGGAUCCGGUCCUGCUUUCUGCUCCUCGGCUGGGGCGUGCUCAUGUGGUUCACCUGCGCCUCCUCCAGGGGCUUCUCCUAACUGUUAAGAUCUAACACCUUCCUCCACCCGACCGGCUUUCUAGAACUGAAACUCCGGGCCAAGGGGUAGCUUGCGAGUGCACCGCCUCCGCGGUGGAUCGCCCUCUCCCCGGCUAACCUAAAUAAACCCAAAACUGAGCAAGCUCAGCAGGCAGAUGCACCUUCACGGCGCAACGGACCGACCUCCUCUGUGGCACUAGCUGCUCCCAGCCCCUGAGAUGUAACUCAGCCCUUCGCCUGAACAACCCAGGGGCCAGCAGCAUCUGCAGCACCUGGGAGUUCCCUAAGAAGGCAAAGGAGGGGCGUGGGUUCAGGAUUACAAGUUAGAGAUCAGCCUCAGCUACCGCUCCACUAAUCCCAAAGGAAAGAAACUUCCCAGGCAUGACCUGCGGGUCAAACAAGACCUUCAGAUGAUUCCUAUGCACUGUGAUAUAACAAGAUGUAGAACUCUCAGCUCCUUCUCCAGUACCAUACCUGCCUGGAUGCUGCCAUGCUUCCUGCUAUAAUAAUGGACUGAACCUCUUAACCUCACACUGUUUUAUGAGACAAGGCAACAAAGAUUCCAAUUGGCAGUGCAGCUACUCAAAUAGCUGCCUCUGCCAAAAAACCCUCCCAUGUGAGACCUGCUGCAUGGUGUGAUUUGUCUGGGACUGCCCCGCCUAUUCUAACACUUAGUCUCUAUGGAUCUCAAUACUCUCAACAGUAAACAAGAAUAACAACAG
Molecule: long non-coding RNA, 967 nt
Filed under: Mus pahari (shrew mouse)
Lineage: Eukaryota; Metazoa; Chordata; Mammalia; Rodentia; Muridae
Description: lncRNA (MGP_PahariEiJ_G0002206.1)
Source: RNAcentral